RNAcentral lists this non-coding RNA (21 nucleotides) under Caenorhabditis elegans. Lineage: Eukaryota; Metazoa; Nematoda; Chromadorea; Rhabditida; Rhabditidae. The record is from RNAcentral.
UAAGUCUUUUACUCCCGAUUU